GCCCUCCGGACAGCAUCUCUCCUCCCUCUCCCUCCAUCUCUAUUUGUCUGCUAGCCUGCUACAAAAUUCUAGAACUAUCUGAUUCCGAAGGCUUCUGUUGAAAAGUAGCGUGAUUUCAAAUGCUUCUGCUGAAAAGUAGUGUCAAUCUUCAGCAGAAGCCUUAGUUAUCCAUGGUCUCUCAUCCUGACUUUUGAAAAGCAGUUCAACAAUGUCUAUUGGGAUGUCAUCUCUCAUGGCAAGUUUUUCAUGAAACAAUUUUUGCUUCCCGUUUAUUUAUUUCUCUUCUUCGGUAGUUUCCCCUCAAAGGUUGUGCUUACCUGGAGAAACCAGAGGAUAUAAAUGAGGCAGUACAAUUAAUCUCUUACAGUAUUUAGCAGAGAAGCAAUAUUGUGCAAACACUAAUAUUGGUUUCCCUUCUCUUCGAUUAUAGUGCCAAAAAAAUAAUGGUGCCGAACUGCACAUACAUACGUGUGGUGGACACACUAUCCUGCGGCAUGAUGCUCCUGCUUCCCUGCUGUUUGCCAUGGAUUUAACAUAUUUGUCUUGUUGGGAAUCCGAGCAGCUGUUUCUGAAGGACGUCAACCUCCUUAAUCUGCUGGCUGAGCUAGAGAAGCAAUCACAAGAAGAAGCAUCUCGUGCAGUCCAUCAACUCAUCAUGUACGUGCGCAUCAGAUCAUGUAUGGUCCAGAGGAAAUAUUCCUUUCUCUUUCAAUUGAUUUGUCUCCUGGCCCCUUUUGUCUUUGUUUUAUAUGUCUGUAGGAUGUCAAGUGCCAGAACCGCUUCAACAUGUGAGCAUGAUCCUUUCCAAGCUUUAGUCAUGUGUUGCUAGCGAAACACAAUAACAUUAAUACCAUGUAUUUUGUAUUAUUGACUUGGGGAAUUGAUUUAAAUUGCUAUUGGUGGUUAUAAUAGUUUGCUAUACUUUUAGUAGAUUAUGUUUAUGCAAGUUAGACAUAGGGCUGCUGUUCGAGAAAGUAUGUAGAUUUAGGAAGUAGGAACAAGCCCAUCCUGUACUACUGUUGCGUUUUGCUGAUGUGCUCCUGUCGCAUGUGCUAAUGUUUGGGCUCUUGUCGCAAAAUCUAAAUUAUUGUUUGAAAAAAAGGGAGAUUUAAUUUGUUGUUAUUACAUAAAAUGGACCACAAUGUCGAAUCAACCAUUGUUAUACACUUUUAGUAGUACGGUGUGGGAUACGUUGUCUUUGUUUAAGGACAAUCAACCCGCAGUACAGGCUGACUAAAAAACGGUCCGCUUCUGAAUUGGUAUCUCCACCCCAUAUCACUAUCCCGACACCCAGCACAGCCUGUCCUUCUCUGAGUUUUGGCACUGCCAGACCUCCUCUCCGACUUCCGGCCUUUCCACGAGCUCCGGCCGAUGUUUUACCAUGCACGACACCUGGGGCCACCCCCGCGCCGUUGCAGUUUCCAUCUAGGAUGAUCAUAGCUUUCUCGAGCUCCGUCAGCCAUUUGCAUCCUAACUAUUCGGUCAAUUGACCCAACGGACCGGAGGGAAUUUUCUUUUUCUUUUUUACUUUGGUUUUCCAUUUAGUACUAAAGUGAUCACGACCACAACCACUAGACAAGACUAAUCUUAUGAGGAAGGCAUCAAUAGCGAUCUCAUCAAAUGGGUUGUGUCGCUUUGUUUUGACCUGUAUUUCCAGGGCUCCAGCAUGCUAAGCCUAGAAGGUAUGCAACUGGUUAUCCUACCUCCCUUCUUUCAAAGAAAUUGGUUAUCCUACCUCUAUCCAUGGCAAUGUCCAUUUUGUUUUGGUAGUGAUGAUCCGCAUCAUGUUGUGGUUUGUAGUAAAAAAUAUGUACCCUUUGCUGCGUUCAUUUCUUAGUGUCAGUUGACUUCUCAACUGUCUUCCGGUGUGAGAUUUAAUGUUCUGAAUAUAUAUUUUAAUUUUUGGAUCUGAUGAAUUGUCCAAGUGACUAAUUUUUUAGUAGUUUAUGGCAAUGCUAAAAAAUGAUUUUGAUUUUCAAGUUAUGUAAAUUACAGCAAAAAUUCUGAGACCUUGUGAUUGCAGCGAAUACUAAAAAGAAUAUGUGAGGUACAGUAAGUAUGCUAUGGAGCCAAAGUGCAGCCCUGUAUCUGUUACUUAGAAGAUUUUCUUGUGACCUGUGUUACAUUCUGUCUUGAUGCCUUAGUUAUUUCUUCUUGAUGUGCACUUUGUGUUGCCAUAAAUUGGACAAUUGUCACUUUUUUUCUGCGGCUGUCAUGGAUACAAUUCAAGGACUUCUAGACAUCAUUAUAUAUUUUCUUAACUUGUUUUUAUGCUGAGUAUGUUUUGAUGGCUUGUCAGCUGUUGGGGAGGAUCACAGUGUCUAUGAUGAAGAAUAAGAAUUUGAAUUUGGAAGGAGCCUUUGUAAUCUCUUAUUAACAAGACUGCAACAUCUGUUUACGGUUCAUUAAGAAUGGUAUGGGAAUAUUUGACUCCGGAGCUUUUGCUGAAUGGUAUUGUCGUCCAGAAGCUAGAGUUUGAAAGGUAUGUCCUGGUGCUCCUCACUUUCUGGGAUGAUCAAUCUCCUAUUAUACAUGGUGACGUACACAGGACAAGACCAAGCAAGCAUCAUGGUUGAUCUCAUGAGGAAGCUAGGUAGCUAUGUAUACGAAGCUAGCAGAUCAAAAGGCACACAAUCUGUGUACGCACGCAAGAGUUGUUGGCGGCUAAAAUCAACAGAUUGACAAAUUGUGGCCAGCAUACAGGCAGGCGAAGAUAGCCAGUGUAUUUGCAUGUUUUCUUGACUUAGACUACACAGGGCCCGCCUUGGGGUAUGGCCGAUGGGGCGACGGCCCAGGGCCCAGGCGAAGGGGGGGCCAUGAUGUAGUGUGUAUGUAUACUAUAGGCCAGCAAAAAUAGGUAAAUUUUUUUUACAGAAGAAACCAAACGACAUGGCCAGAUGGGAUAACUAGCGAUCGAUUAGCCAAGCGUCACGCGCGCGAUCGGUGCCAGAUGCGAGGCACGGCUGCCUGCUCGUUUUCCUUCGUCAGUUCCUCUCGUCGGUUCAUCUGUCUAAUCGUCUUCCUCCUCUCAUCUGCCGCCGCUGCGCGUGCCGCGGCCACACGGCCAUCCGGCAUCCGGGAAGGCGUCAAGUUGGUCGACUGCAAGUCUGCAACGCCGUGAACACACCAUAGAAUCAGAAGAUUACCUUUCAUCUAUUUUUGAUCCAAGAACAUGGGAAAUUCAUGACAAUAGCAAAAGGGUAUUUUAAUUGAGAAGGAACCUAUUAGACAACCAGAUCAGGAGUUCGAGAAGGACACCAUUGGUAGACACUUUUCAUAUGCUUUUAACUCCAGAAAGUUAAGUAAUGGUGAGUUUGUUGACAGAAAGUGGUUAUGUGUUGCAUUGAGAAGGAUAUCUUGGACAAUGUUGAUCUUGAUUGUGCCCUUAAUGACUUUGCAUCAAGAAACGUCCAAAGAAAAUUUUUCUGAAGCACUAAAGUAUUAUUGUUGUCGAUGGAUUCAAUCGAAUUUGGUUCUUAUUUGAGGUAAUCAUGUCAUGUUAGUUUCAUUUUGCUAUCUUUUUAGUAUUAUUGUUAUCGAUGGAAUCAGGUAGAAUUUGGUUAUUAUUGU
Aegilops tauschii subsp. strangulata is the source of this 3570-nucleotide long non-coding RNA. RefSeq lists it as uncharacterized. The record is from RefSeq and is a predicted model, not a curated record. Lineage: Eukaryota; Viridiplantae; Streptophyta; Magnoliopsida; Poales; Poaceae.